Molecule: ribosomal RNA, 253 nt
Filed under: uncultured bacterium
Lineage: Bacteria
Description: partial 16S ribosomal RNA
Rfam family: Bacterial small subunit ribosomal RNA
Source: RNAcentral
UACGUAGGUGGCAAGCGUUGUCCGGAUUUAUUGGGCUUAAAGGGUGCGUAGGCGGCCCUGUAAGUCAGUGGUGAAAUAUCCCGGCUUAACCGGGAGGGUGGCAUUGAUACUGCGGGGCUAGAGUACAGAUGAGGUAGGCGGAAUUGACGGUGUAGCGGUGAAAUGCGUAGAGAUUAGGAAGAACACCAGUGGCGAAGGCGACUUACUGGACUGUAACUGACGCUGAGGCAUGAAAGCGUGGGGAGCAAACAGG